GAGUCCACACUACAAGAAAAUAUUUUCAGUAACUCCUUCAUCCAUUGGACGAGUGAAUACUGGAAGAAGGGUAUUCUGGAAAUUUAAUUUCAGAAUAGGGUAUAUAGGGAAUAAAAAAUCAAAAAAGGGUAAGAAAGGAAAAAAGUCUACUAAAUAUGGAGUAAAGUUCGAUAGGAUUUUUGUGAUACAUGUGAUUUUCUUUUGGUGAAAAA
This 212-nucleotide long non-coding RNA is filed under the name Lathyrus oleraceus (garden pea). RNAcentral's name for it is "Pisum sativum (pea) long non-coding RNA (PSAT_LNC007958)". The record is from RNAcentral. Lineage: Eukaryota; Viridiplantae; Streptophyta; Magnoliopsida; Fabales; Fabaceae.